Molecule: ribosomal RNA, 497 nt
Filed under: uncultured bacterium
Lineage: Bacteria
Description: partial 16S ribosomal RNA
Rfam family: Bacterial small subunit ribosomal RNA
Source: RNAcentral
GAUGAACGCUGGCGGCGUGCCUAAUACAUGCAAGUCGAGCGAACAGACGAGGAGCUUGCUCCUCUGACGUUAGCGGCGGACGGGUGAGUAACACGUGGAUAACCUACCUAUAAGACUGGGAUAACUUCGGGAAACCGGAGCUAAUACCGGAUAAUAUAUUGAACCGCAUGGUUCAAUAGUGAAAGACGGUUUUGCUGUCACUUAUAGAUGGAUCCGCGCCGCAUUAGCUAGUUGGUAAGGUAAAGGCUUACCAAGGCGACGAUGCGUAGCCGACCUGAGAGGAUGAUCGGCCACACUGGAACUGAGACACGGUCCAGACUCCUACGGGAGGCAGCAGUAGGGAAUCUUCCGCAAUGGGCGAAAGCUUGACGGAGCAACGCCGCGUGAGUGAUGAAGGUCUUCGGAUCGUAAAACUCUGUUAUUAGGGAAGAACAAAUGUGGAAGUAUCUAUGCACGUCUUGACGGUACCUAAUCAGAAAGCCACGGCUAACUACGUG